This is a long non-coding RNA of Quercus lobata, 1098 nucleotides long. RefSeq lists it as uncharacterized. The record is from RefSeq and is a predicted model, not a curated record. NCBI's taxonomy places the organism in Eukaryota, Viridiplantae, Streptophyta, Magnoliopsida, Fagales, Fagaceae. The transcript is spliced from 4 exons.
AAAAAAAAAAAAAAGUGGAAACUCAUAAAAGAAUUGAAUCUAAGGCAAGAAUGUCAAGCGUUUCAAUAGUUUCAAUUUAAUGUACGUAUCAGGUUCCAUAGUGCUUGCAUUUUAUCUUUUUGUUAAUUGUGCAGAGUGCAGAAAGAACAGCUGAGCAACCCUGAAGUCCCGUCCAAUAACCAUCCAUGAAAUGUUAAAGGUUUGUAUUGUGUUGGAUCAAAGCCCAGCUUCUUGUCUUAACAAAGUGAGCUAGGACGAGAUGAUAAACAUGGGUGACGACGUCUCCAAACUAGCUACCAUGGGACUAUGGCCAUGUUUGAUGGGAAGAAUGACAAUGCUUAUCAAGACCUGGAGGGUUUAAUAACAAGAGGCUGACAAUGAGAUCGAAGGGGAAGUUAACUAACUUGGGCAAAUUGACAGAAUUUCUAUCAUUCAUUACAGGUUUGUUUUUGUUGUGUGUACCGUUGGAUCAAAGCUCAGCUUUUCUCUCAACAAAGGGAGCUGGGGGGAGGAGAUAAAAAUGGUUGACCAAGUCUUCAAACAAGCUACCAUGGGUAUUCUACUCUUUUCUUUAUUCCCUUUUCUUUUUCCCACAAUUGUCUUCUAUCUACUCAAUGUUUCAACUUGGUUAUACUUUCAUGUGAUUUUGGUGAAAUGGAUUUUGUUGAUUUGGACAUCCUUAGUCACUUGUGAUUAGUUCUGAUUUUUGUCAAAUGGAUCUUCCUAGAUUGUUUUUUAUGAAUAUAUAAACUUUGCAGGAAAAAAAAGAAAGAAAGAAAAAGGUGAGUUUUGUGAUCUAAUCAUCGUAAGUCUUGUGUUGACUUCCUUGUUCAGUGUUUAGAUGCUAAUUGCAAUUGUUCUAUUUGCAAAUUAAUUUCAUAUUUUGUUUUAGAAGAUACCAACAAUUGUCUUACUUUAUGAAAAUUAAAUAAUUUUAGUUUCCUAAAUGUAAUGAGUUCAACUUUGAGGGUAUAUACUGUUUGAGCCUUGAGGACAUAAUUUUUUACCUUAAAUCAUGUAUAAGGACGACCAAACAGAAAAUUGUUGUUGGUUAUGUUCUUGGAUUGUAAGUAACUAAGUAGUUGUUUGAAUGUACUA